GACGAACGCUGGCGGCGUGCCUAAUACAUGCAAGUCGAACGCUGAAGAGAGGCUCUUGCUCUUCUUGGAUGAGUUGCGAACGGGUGAGUCACGCGUAGGUAACCUGCCUUGUAGCGGGGGAUAACUAUUGGAAACGAUAGCUAAUACCCCAUAACAAUGGGUGACACAUGUCUUUUCUUUGAAAGCGGCAAUUGCUGCACUACAAGAUGGACCUUCGUUGUAUUAGCUAGUAGGUGAGGUAAUCGCCCAUCUAUGCGACGAUACAUAGCCGACCUGAGCGGGAGGUUGGCCAACACGGGAAGGGGGAACGGCCCAAAAUUCCUCGGGGGGGAGGAGGAGGGGAAUAUCGGAAAUGGGGGCAACGCUGACCGAGCAAAGGCGGGUGGGUGAAGGAGGGUCUCGGAUCGGAAAGCUCUGUUGUGAGGGGAGAACGGGUGUGAAGUUAGAAAGUUCACACUGUGACGGUAGCAUACGAGAAAGGGACGGCUAACUACGUG
RNAcentral lists this ribosomal RNA (497 nucleotides) under uncultured bacterium. Its description in RNAcentral is "partial 16S ribosomal RNA". It matches the Rfam family "Bacterial small subunit ribosomal RNA", at positions 28 to 507 of the family's 1533-position model. The record is from RNAcentral.